GAUGAACGCUGGCGGCGUGCCUAAUACAUGCAAGUCGAGCGAACGGACGAGAAGCUUGCUUUUCUGAUGUUAGCGGCGGACGUGUGAGUAACACGUGGAUAACCUACCUAUAAGACUGGGAUAACUUCGGGAAACCGGAGCUAAUACCGGAUAAUAUUUUGAACCGCAUGGUUCAAAAGUGAAAGACGGUCUUGCUGUCACUAAUAGAUGGAUCCGCGCUGCAUUAGCUAGUUGGUAAGGUAACGGCUUACGAAGGCAACCAUGCAUAGCCGAACUGUGAGAGUGUUCGGCCACAGUGGAACGGAAACGGAAACAAGACUCCUACGGUAAGGGACAGUAGGCUACCUUCCGCAGUGGGCGGAAGCCUGACGGAGCAACGGCGCGUGUGAGAUUACAAUCUUCGGAUCGUAAAACUCUGUUAUUAGUGAGGAACAUAUGUGUAAGUAACUGUGCACAUCUUGACGGUACCUAAUCAGAAAGCAACGGCUAACUACGUG
Molecule: ribosomal RNA, 497 nt
Filed under: uncultured bacterium
Lineage: Bacteria
Description: partial 16S ribosomal RNA
Rfam family: Bacterial small subunit ribosomal RNA
Source: RNAcentral